GUUGACCUCGGAUCAGGUAGGAAUACCCGCUGAACUUAAGCAUAUCAAUAAGCGGAGGAAAAGAAACCAACAGGGAUUGCCCUAGUAACGGCGAGUGAAGCGGCAACAGCUCAAAUUUGAAAUCUGGCCGCAAGG
This 135-nucleotide ribosomal RNA is filed under the name Hypocreales sp. KH00295. RNAcentral's name for it is "partial 28S ribosomal RNA". It matches the Rfam family "Eukaryotic large subunit ribosomal RNA", at positions 1 to 133 of the family's 3401-position model. Lineage: Eukaryota; Fungi; Ascomycota; Sordariomycetes; Hypocreales. The record is from RNAcentral.